Molecule: non-coding RNA, 1903 nt
Organism: Arachis ipaensis
Lineage: Eukaryota; Viridiplantae; Streptophyta; Magnoliopsida; Fabales; Fabaceae
Source: RefSeq, a predicted model, not a curated record
AUUAAUUUUUGGAUUUGUGGCGGUUUUGGUAAUUCUGGCGGUUUUGAACCGCCGUUGGCAUGUAGGUAUAAAAGAAGAGUCCCUAAAUUUCAGAAACCCUUAGUUGAAACCCUACGCGUGUGAUGUUGUUGCUCUUGGAUGGCCUAUGCGACAAUCUCCGAUCCUAUUCCGUUCUCCGACGAUCUUCUUCGGUGACAUCUCCUCCGGGAUCUCCUUCGGCGACAUCUCCUAAAGCUGCGAUAUCCUCCGGUGACGUCUCCUCCAGCUUCCUCUCCUUGUCGUCCUCUGUGUCUUCUCCGCCAAAAUCGUCAACGCCUAAUUCCUCUGCGACGAUCCAGGCCGUUUGCGAGGAUUCAUCGCGAGUGGAGAAGUCAGUUCCGCAGUUUGCACUGUUGACGACGUUCCUCCACAAUUUGUGUUCUGCCGCUCUCGCUGCGCCGCCGCCGCCACCGCCGUUUCUCCAUUCCUCUGCUUCAUGCCUUUGCCGCCGUCCCUCACUCUUCCAAAGGUUAUGUUAGGGAUUGUAUUUUCCAUUUCGGUUUUCAGCCAUGUGUAAUAUUAAAGUGUUAGGAUUCUUGAUGAAUAAUAACUUAAUGAAUAAUAAACUAAACUAGGUUGAUGAAUGUAAACUGUAAUUGCAUUAGUUUAGAAAUACAUUUGUAAUGUGCUGUUGCAUUAUUAAAAUCUAUCAUUGAAGACUAUUUUUGUAGACUUUAUCCUAUUUGUCAAAAUGAUUAGAUCUAGCUUUUCAAUGUUGAUGGCUUGUUUAUUUCUUCCUUUUCUUGUUUGUGUAUGAAGAUAUGAAGGUGGCCACCAUGCUUGUGGAUCCUGCUGGAUUGUCAAGCUUACUACCUCUGCCUUGAAAAUUAUGGUGCUUCAAAGGGGGCUAAUUUGAAAAGCUCUUACUGAACCUGGGGUUAAGCAUGCGUUGAUUGCAAUACAAGUGCUUCAGCAGGUGCAAGCAUUUGAAAUUGAAUUAAAAUGGAGUUUCUGUGGAGCUGACAAUUCUUCUACAUUGACUAUUAAUCAAGGAUUUCGCUAAGUUGCUUAAGAGAUUGGACUUUCCAGAAAUGAAGUUCAGCUUAUACUUAUGGGCUAUGAGCCUCCUUGCUGCUCUGCUGGUGAAGGAUCUUGUGUUUCAAAUGGAGCAUGCGAAGAUUGCACAACGGGAUAUCCUUAAAUGGUGCAACGGAAUUGUAGGUUUAGGUUUUUCUUUAAGAAUUGAGAUUCUUAGCACAAUGAGAGCAGUCCAAGGUUCACUAAUAGUAGCAUCAUGCAUACAAAUAAUUUUGGGAUUUAGUCAAAUAUGGGCCAUUUGUUCCAGGUUUUUCAGUCGACUUGGAAUGGUUCCAGUAAUUGCAUUAGUUGGUUUUGAACUAUUUGACAGAGGGUUCCUUGAGGUUGGGAGCUGGGUCGAAAUUUCCAUGCUAAUACUGUUUAUAGCCUUAUCUCAGGACAAGGGAAUAACAAGACAAAUCCCAUCCAAAACCAAAAGAAGCACAUGCAAUACGGAUAUGAAAGUGGGCUUGGGAAUUUUUGAGAGAGGUCUAUAAAAGAGAAGAGGCCCAAUAAUAAAAAAUAUAAUCUGCCAACUUAUCCUGCUAGCAUGUUUCUUAGUAAUGCUAAUGGAACAGUUUCGCAAUAGCAUCAAGGAAUUGGAUCAGGAGAGUGAGAUUCCAUCACCAGAAGAGUUAGGAAGUAGAUCUUCUGGAGCAAGCAACAAGGAAGCAUGACCUUGCUUGAUAUGUUAAGACGUAUAUUAAAGAUUAUAUGUUAAGACGUAUUAUUGAAAAAUGUUACUUUGAUAAUUUGUUUUUGGAUUAUGACAUUUCAAUUAUGACUUGGAUUAUGACUUUUGAAUCAUGUAAGAAUUAAUAAAAAUCAUCUUAUGAUGUUUGAUUUA